Molecule: transfer RNA, 69 nt
Filed under: Ictidomys tridecemlineatus (thirteen-lined ground squirrel)
Lineage: Eukaryota; Metazoa; Chordata; Mammalia; Rodentia; Sciuridae
Description: Spermophilus tridecemlineatus (thirteen-lined ground squirrel) tRNA
Rfam family: tRNA
About the family: Transfer RNA (tRNA) molecules are approximately 80 nucleotides in length. Their secondary structure includes four short double-helical elements and three loops (D, anti-codon, and T loops).
Source: Rfam by way of RNAcentral
GGAGCUGUGGCUCAGUGGUAGAGUGCUUGUCUAGCAUGCAUGAGGCACUGGAUUGGUUCCUCAGCAUCA